CUUGAAACUUGUCUGUCCAAGGCAAACGAAGAGUUGCACGAAAAAAUGAAAGACAACAGAGCACUGAAGGAACAGCUGAAAGCGUAUGAAAGGUCUAACCGUGGGAAAGGAGAAAGGAAAAAAUUAGUGGCCGGAGAUUGGCAAAGCAAUGCCUCUGAAGCUGCUGCUUAUGCUCUAAGAGUAC
Molecule: long non-coding RNA, 184 nt
Organism: Corticium candelabrum
Lineage: Eukaryota; Metazoa; Porifera; Homoscleromorpha; Homosclerophorida; Plakinidae
Exons: 3
Source: RefSeq, a predicted model, not a curated record